This 62-nucleotide transfer RNA is filed under the name Dipodomys ordii (Ord's kangaroo rat). It matches the Rfam family "tRNA", at positions 1 to 61 of the family's 71-position model. Rfam says of the family: Transfer RNA (tRNA) molecules are approximately 80 nucleotides in length. The record is from Rfam by way of RNAcentral. Lineage: Eukaryota; Metazoa; Chordata; Mammalia; Rodentia; Heteromyidae.
GGGAAGGUAGCUCAGUGGUAGAGUGCUUGCUUCAUAUGCAUGAGGACCUGGAUUCCAUUCCU